This 427-nucleotide ribosomal RNA is filed under the name uncultured bacterium. RNAcentral describes it as "partial 16S ribosomal RNA". It matches the Rfam family "Bacterial small subunit ribosomal RNA", at positions 355 to 774 of the family's 1533-position model. The record is from RNAcentral.
UGGGGAAUAUUGGACAAUGGGCGAAAGCCUGAUCCAGCCAUGCCGCGUGUGUGAAGAAGGUCUUCGGAUUGUAAAGCACUUUAAGUUGGGAGGAAGGGCAUUAACCUAAUACGUUAGUGUUUUGACGUUACCGACAGAAUAAGCACCGGCUAACUCUGUGCCAGCAGCCGCGGUAAUACAGAGGGUGCAAGAGUUAAUCGGAAUUACUGGGCGUAAAGCGCGCGUAUGUGGUUUGUUAAGUUGGAUGUGAAAUCCCCGGGCUCAACCUGGGAACUGCAUUCAAAACUGACUGACUAGAGUAUGGUAGAGGGUGGUGGAAUUUCCUGUGUAGCGGUGAAAUGCGUAGAUAUAGGAAGGAACACCAGUGGCGAAGGCGACCACCUGGACUAAUACUGACACUGAGGUGCGAAAGCGUGGGGAGCAAACA